Long non-coding RNA from Brienomyrus brachyistius, 254 nucleotides. RefSeq lists it as uncharacterized. The record is from RefSeq and is a predicted model, not a curated record. Lineage: Eukaryota; Metazoa; Chordata; Actinopteri; Osteoglossiformes; Mormyridae. The transcript has 3 exons.
GGGGAGGUAAUGCGGGGUGUGCGGUACCUGGGCGCGGGCCUGUGUUUGGGGAGGUAAUGCGGGGUGUGUGGUACCUGGGCUCGGGCCUGUGUGUGGGGAGGUAAUGCGGGGUGUGCGGUACCUGGGCGCGGGCCUGUGUUUGGGGAGGUAAUGCGGGGUGUGCGGUACCUGGGCGCGGGCCUGUGUUUGGGGAGGUAAUGCGGGGUGUGCGGUACCUGGGCUCGGGCCUGUGUGUGGGGAGGUAAUGCGGGGUG